UAAAUGUGUUGAUGACUUAUCUAAGUUCACCUUUAUGAUAAAGAACUUGUAUUAUUUUGUCUAAAUCAGGUGCUGGCAAACCAUGGCCCAUGGACCAAAUCCAACAAAUACUUUGUUUUUCCUUAGAAUGUCCGGGAGACCCAACCUGCCUUGGAAACCAACUGAUGAGACUGCCUCAUGUCAAUCUUGCUGUGAUUUUAUUCCUUUGAGCUUGCAGAAAAUGACUCUACUGGAAACCGUCACUCCUUUGGAUUAGGACCAAAGCCCCGUGGUAUAAUUGAAGAGGAUAAGGAAGGGGGCCCUUCCUCGGAUAUUUCCCCACUUAAGAGAUGAUUUAUCUCAUCAAACAGGAUGGAUGUAAAAGUCUAUCCAUGCUUUCUCCACCUCACAGCUUUCAUGACUCAUCCUGGACUCACCCUAUGUUCUGUCACGUGAAACAUUUCAAGGAAAACUCAAUGGGGCGUGACAUCAUGGGAAGGAGAACUGAUUUCUCGUCCUGCAUUGGCUUCUCUCCGGCUCUCUGACUUCAGCAUUUCUGCCUAUUUCUCCCCACCUCCUGUCUCACGCUUCAUUCUCCUUUCUCAUCUUAAGAGAAUCAAGAUUCAUGAAGGAGAAAGGAGGAAGAUGAAACUAGGGGAAUGAAGAAUCAUGGACAAAGUACCCUUGCCUGCUGUUGUGUCUCAGCCAAAUUCAAACAUGUUGUAUUUCCAUUACUAGUUUGAGGUACCAGGAAAGAGGUGAAUUUUCACAACUCUGCCUUCAUCUGGACUCUAUUUAGUAGCUACAAAUUAAUAUUUUCUGAUUUGAAUAAAACAAAUAUACUAAAGUUCAAAAUUUUUAGUUUGAACUUCCUGUUUAUUUUAAGCUUGUUAGUUAAAUAUGUUUGAGUUCUGAGUUUUUGCUUUCUGUUGAAAUGAUUUGUAACUGGAUAAUUAUUUGAGUGGGUUCUAGUGGCUAAAAAGAAAAAAAAAGGUUGAGGAAGGAAGCGUUGCUGUUUUUAUAGUAGGAUGAGUUUUCUUGAACACUUCAAGAACUCUGAAUUUCACUGAGUUCCCAUUCCCGGCAAGAUGUUUGAACACUAACGAUUCUCAGCUUUUUAGGCAAGCCACAGCUUAACUAUAUUGCCAUAUUUACCUAAAAUUGGUUUUUCAACUACUCAUAAUUAAAAGCUGAUUUGAGAAAUAAUGCUUGAAAUCAAUUUCGUUCAGUGGGUUACAUAUAUGCCUUUAUAUAGAGAAAACUUUAUAGAAUUAUCAUAUGCUCUAGACUCAAAUUUGUGUGAGCCAAUCUGACACUCUGCUUAAAGGUUUAUUAGAAUUAAUGUUCCCCUUAAUUGUAAAAUUUCUUUAUAAUAAGCUACGCAAGUACCCUACUGAAAGAUUCAUCUGAAGCUACUGGAUAUGUGUCCAUAUACAUUUUGAGGUGGGAGUCGGAGAUAUUAAAAAUGGGCCUGUUGGACCACAGGAACUCUGCUGGUGUGGUUUCUCUUUAUAGCUCCAACUCCUGGCA
This is a long non-coding RNA of Equus quagga, 1509 nucleotides long. RefSeq lists it as uncharacterized. The transcript is spliced from 5 exons. The record is from RefSeq and is a predicted model, not a curated record. NCBI's taxonomy places the organism in Eukaryota, Metazoa, Chordata, Mammalia, Perissodactyla, Equidae.